RNAcentral lists this transfer RNA (67 nucleotides) under Claassenia xucheni. Its description in RNAcentral is "tRNA-Leu". The record is from RNAcentral. Lineage: Eukaryota; Metazoa; Arthropoda; Insecta; Plecoptera; Perlidae.
UCUAUUUUGGCAGAUAAGUGCGAUGGGCUUAGAAUCCGUAUAUGUAAAGUUAAUAUUACAGAUAGAA